UGGGGAAUAUUGGACAAUGGGCGAAAGCCUGAUCCAGCCAUGCCGCGUGUGUGAAGAAGGUCUUCGGAUUGUAAAGCACUUUAAGUUGGGAGGAAGGGCAGUAAGCGAAUACCUAGCUGUUUUGACGUUACCGACAGAAUAAGCACCGGCUAACUCUGUGCCAGCAGCCGCGGUAAUACAGAGGGUGCAAGCGUUAAUCGGAAUUACUGGGCGUAAAGCGCGCGUAGGUGGUUCGUUAAGUUGAAUGUGAAAGCCCCGGGCUCAACCUGGGAACUGCAUCCAAAACUGGCGAGCUAGAGUAGGGCAGAGGGUGGUGGAAUUUCCUGUGUAGCGGUGAAAUGCGUAGAUAUAGGAAGGAACACCAGUGGCGAAGGCGACCACCUGGGCUCACACUGACACUGAGGUGCGAAAGCGUGGGGAGCAAACAGG
Molecule: ribosomal RNA, 429 nt
Filed under: Pseudomonadota bacterium
Lineage: Bacteria; Pseudomonadati; Pseudomonadota
Description: Proteobacteria bacterium partial 16S ribosomal RNA
Rfam family: Bacterial small subunit ribosomal RNA
Source: RNAcentral